This 497-nucleotide ribosomal RNA is filed under the name uncultured bacterium. Its description in RNAcentral is "partial 16S ribosomal RNA". It matches the Rfam family "Bacterial small subunit ribosomal RNA", at positions 28 to 507 of the family's 1533-position model. The record is from RNAcentral.
GACGAACGCUGGCGGCGUGCCUAAUACAUGCAAGUUGAGCGCUGAAGGUUGGUACCUGUACCAACUGGAUGAGCAGCGAACGGGUGAGUAACGCGUGGGGAAUCUGCCUUUGAGCGGGGGACAACAUUUGGAAACGAAUGCUAAUACCGCAUAAAAACUUUAAACACAAGUUUUAAGUUUGAAAGAUGCAAUUGCAUCACUCAAAGAUGAUCCCGCGUUGUAUUAGCUAGUUGGUGAGGUAAAGGCUCACCAAGGCGAUGAUACAUAGCCGACCUGAGAGGGUGAUCGGCCACAUUGGGACUGAGACACGGCCCAAACUCCUACGGGAGGCAGCAGCAGGGAAUCUUCGGCAAUGGACGAAAGUCUGACCGAGCAACGCCGCGUGAGUGAAGAAGGUUUUCGGAUCGUAAAACUCUGUUGGUAGAGAAGAACGUUGGUGAGAGUGGAAAGCUCAUCAAGUGACGGUAACUACCCAGAAAGGGACGGCUAACUACGUG